CUACACGACCUUGAUCUGGGACUUCUGGUUUCCAGAACUAAAAUAUCUAGAAAAGGAGGGAAAGAAAGCCUGAAGAAAGCUUCUAGAGAAGAUUUAAAAAGAGAUCCCUAGAAGCAAGUGUUGCCCUUGUCCUCCAUUCACACAGAUGGACAGACUUGGAAGCCCCUGGAAGUCAUGACAAACCUGUACCAGCAGCCCCUCACUAAAGAGAGGGUGACUCUUUGAGCUAACAAGCCUCCAAACUCAAAGGAAGAUCCUUCUUUCUGAGGAGUUUACUUGGCUUAGGUAUCUAGAUUGCUCUGUGUCCUGGGUCUACGUGAAGAAUAUGACACCCCCACCUUGCCCCCCAGCACCAUUCAGGAUAAGCAUCACUUAGUGAUCCCAGUGUGAAUUUGGUUUGUUUUUAAUUUUAUUUUUAUUUAAUUUAUUAAUUUUUAUUGUUUAGGUGGGAGGAGGGCAGAGAGAGAGGGAGAGA
Long non-coding RNA from Neomonachus schauinslandi (Hawaiian monk seal), 475 nucleotides. RefSeq lists it as uncharacterized. The record is from RefSeq and is a predicted model, not a curated record. Lineage: Eukaryota; Metazoa; Chordata; Mammalia; Carnivora; Phocidae. The transcript has 3 exons.